Long non-coding RNA from Hippopotamus amphibius kiboko, 507 nucleotides. RefSeq lists it as uncharacterized. The record is from RefSeq and is a predicted model, not a curated record. The transcript has 3 exons. NCBI's taxonomy places the organism in Eukaryota, Metazoa, Chordata, Mammalia, Artiodactyla, Hippopotamidae.
GGAGCUCAAAGCCAAGGAGUUCCAGGGGUCGCAGGGCGGGGCAAAACGCGAUCACGGUGCCAGGGCUUGAGAAAAACCAAACUAAGAUGCCUUCCCUGCCCUCAGGGAGCCCAUCAUCAAUGGCCUGUGUUUUGUUAAACCACAAUUAUUCCAGGAGCAGGACAUCACAUUUCUACAGCACUCCAAACUGUCUGCCUUGUCAGAGUGACUGUCAUACUGUAUGCCAAAGCUCGUCUGGCUGAACAACAGCUGUGCUCCAAGCAGUCAUCUCAGGAGGUAGUCAGCCUAACGAUCUAGGUUGCCAUUUAUGGAUCUAAAUUAAGAGCCAUCCAUGGCAUUCUGAUCCAGUGUGCACUCCUGAUGGUCAUUCAGCUCAUUUUCUUGGACAGCCGUGUUGUCAGAACCUUGGUUGGACCCAGACACAUGGAAGAACCCUUGAAUGUUUGCCAUUGACCUCAGGAUAAAGUCCAUAGUACUUGACAUGGCCUUCAGAGGGCUGCCAUGCCC